This 450-nucleotide ribosomal RNA is filed under the name uncultured bacterium. RNAcentral describes it as "bacterial SSU rRNA". It matches the Rfam family "Bacterial small subunit ribosomal RNA", at positions 354 to 796 of the family's 1533-position model. The record is from RNAcentral.
GUGGGGAAUAUUGGACAAUGGGCGCAAGCCUGAUCCAGCCAUACCGCGUGGGUGAAGAAGGCCUUCGGGUUGUAAAGCCCUUUUGUUGGGAAAGAAAUCCUGUCGAUUAAUACUCGGUGGGGAUGACGGUACCCAAAGAAUAAGCACCGGCUAACUUCGUGCCAGCAGCCGCGGUAAUACGAAGGGUGCAAGCGUUACUCGGAAUUACUGGGCGUAAAGCGUGCGUAGGUGGUGGUUUAAGUCUGCUGUGAAAGCCCUGGGCUCAACCUGGGAAUUGCAGUGGAUACUGGAUCACUAGAGUGUGGUAGAGGGAUGCGGAAUUUCUGGUGUAGCAGUGAAAUGCGUAGAGAUCAGAAGGAACAUCCGUGGCGAAGGCGGCAUCCUGGGCCAACACUGACACUGAGGCACGAAAGCGUGGGGAGCAAACAGGAUUAGAUACCCCUGUAGUCC